AUUGAACGCUGGCGGCAUGCCUUACACAUGCAAGUCGAACGGCAGCACGGGAGCAAUCCUGGUGGCGAGUGGCGAACGGGUGAGUAAUAUAUCGGAACGUGCCCGGUCGUGGGGGAUAACGUAGCGAAAGCUACGCUAAUACCGCAUACAAUCUACGGAUGAAAGCGGGGGAUCGCAAGACCUCGCGCGAUUGGAGCGGCCGAUAUCAGAUUAGGUAGUUGGUGAGGUAAAGGCUCACCAAGCCGACGAUCUGUAGCUGGUCUGAGAGGACGACCAGCCACACUGGGACUGAGACACGGCCCAGACUCCUACGGGAGGCAGCAGUGGGGAAUUUUGGACAAUGGGCGCAAGCCUGAUCCAGCAAUGCCGCGUGCAGGAUGAA
This 382-nucleotide ribosomal RNA is filed under the name uncultured bacterium. RNAcentral describes it as "bacterial SSU rRNA". It matches the Rfam family "Bacterial small subunit ribosomal RNA", at positions 30 to 412 of the family's 1533-position model. The record is from RNAcentral.